This 356-nucleotide long non-coding RNA is filed under the name Homo sapiens (human). RNAcentral's name for it is "HSALNT0246048". Lineage: Eukaryota; Metazoa; Chordata; Mammalia; Primates; Hominidae. The record is from RNAcentral.
GAGGGGAAGGGAGGUGACGUGGGGAGGGGAGGUCAGGUGAGGUGAGAUGGGACGUGAAGGUGACAUGGGGACAUGAGGUAGGCAUGUGAGAUGGGGGUAUGGGACACAAAGGUGACAUGGGGCUUUAGGUGAUGCGGGGACAUGAGGUGACGGGAUGUGAGGUGAGAUGGGGACAGGACAUGAGGUGAUGUCAGGCCUCGUGACAUGGGAACAUGACGUGAUGGAUGCCGGCUUGAGACAGAGGACGGCGCACACCCACUGUGGGAAUGUCUGGGGGCCUGCUGAGGACAAAGGAGCUGCCUCUGUUCCAGGGCCCCUGGAUACAUCCUCCCUGCCCUGAAUCCCAGAGAGACCCG